GUAUGCUUGAUGAUUUUGAGCAUUGUGACUUGAGGUAUUUCAUGUGGACUAUUGUUUGGAUGGGGUCGCGCAUUAAAGUGGAGAUGUUGAGUAUGAUCCUUUUGUGAUAGAUUCGUGUGUUUUUGUUCUACUGUGUGUGAUGUGUUAUUAGCAUUGCGUUGUGAUGGUAUUUUUAGAGCUUGUGGAGCGGUUCUCGCAUUC
RNAcentral lists this long non-coding RNA (201 nucleotides) under Nicotiana benthamiana. RNAcentral's name for it is "long non-coding RNA (NBEN_LNC034808)". Lineage: Eukaryota; Viridiplantae; Streptophyta; Magnoliopsida; Solanales; Solanaceae. The record is from RNAcentral.